This 520-nucleotide ribosomal RNA is filed under the name uncultured bacterium. Its description in RNAcentral is "bacterial SSU rRNA". It matches the Rfam family "Bacterial small subunit ribosomal RNA", at positions 97 to 652 of the family's 1533-position model. The record is from RNAcentral.
GGCGGACGGGUGAGUAACGCGUAGGAACCUACCUUUGGGUACGGGAUAACUCAGGGAAACUUGUGCUAAUACCGUAUGAUGCCUCCGGGCCAAAGAUUUAUCGCCCAUUGAUGGGCCUGCGUCGGAUUAGGUAGUUGGUGGGGUAAUGGCCUACCAAGCCUACGAUCCGUAGCUGGUCUGAGAGGAUGAUCAGCCACACUGGGACUGAGACACGGCCCAGACUCCUACGGGAGGCAGCAGUGGGGAAUAUUGGACAAUGGGCGCAAGCCUGAUCCAGCAAUGCCGCGUGAGUGAUGAAGGCCUUAGGGUUGUAAAGCUCUUUCACCGGGGAAGAUAAUGACGGUACCCGGAGAAGAAGCCCCGGCUAACUCCGUGCCAGCAGCCGCGGUAAUACGGAGGGGGCUAGCGUUGUUCGGAAUUACUGGGCGUAAAGCGCGCGUAGGCGGCUUGACAAGUUGGAGGUGAAAGCCCGGAGCUCAACUUCGGAAUUGCCUUCAAGACUGUCUCGCUCGAGGCAGGG